This 1010-nucleotide small RNA is filed under the name Histoplasma ohiense. RNAcentral describes it as "hypothetical lncRNA". Lineage: Eukaryota; Fungi; Ascomycota; Eurotiomycetes; Onygenales; Ajellomycetaceae. The record is from RNAcentral.
AUCCCUCACUGCUAAGCUAUCCCUCGCUGCUAAGCUAUCGCUGCCAACCUAUCUAUCGCUGCCAACCUAUCUAUCGCUGCCAAUUUAUCUACCACUGCCAAUCUAUCUAUUGCUGCUAAUCUAUCGCCGCUGCCAAUCUAUCCCUCGCUGCUAAGCUAUCGCUGCCAACCUAUCUAUCGCUGCCAACCUAUCUAUCGCUGCCAAUUUAUCUACCACUGCCAAUCUAUCUAUUGCUGCUAAUCUAUCGCUGCUGCCAAUCUAUCCCUCACUGCUAAGCUAUCCCUCGCUGCUAAGCUAUCACUGCCAAUCUAUCUAUCGCUGCCAACCUAUCUAUCGCUGCCAAUUUAUCUACCACUGCCAAUCUAUCUAUUGCUGCUAAUCUAUCGCCGCUGCCAAUCUAUCCCUCGCUGCUAAGCUAUCGCUGCCAACCUAUCUAUCGCUGCCAACCUAUCUAUCGCUGCCAAUUUAUCUACCACUGCCAAUCUAUCUAUUGCUGCUAAUCUAUCGCCGCUGCCAAUCUAUCCCUCACUGCUAAGCUAUCCCUCGCUGCUAAGCUAUCACUGCCAAUCUAUCGCUGCUAAUCUAUCGCUGCCAACCUAUCUACCGCGGCGAAUCUAUCUAUCGCUGCCAAUUUAUCUACCACUGCCAAUCUAUCUAUCGCUGCCAAUCUAUUGCUGCUAAUCUAUCGCUGCUAAUCUAUCGCUGCUGCCAAUCUAUCUUUCGCUGCUAAUCUAUCGCCGCUGCCAAUCUAUCCCUCGCUGCUAAGCUAUCCCUCGCUGCUAAGCUAUCCCUCACUGCUAAGCUAUCUCUCGCUGCUAAGCUAUCCCUCACUGCUAAGCUAUCCCUCGCUGCUAAGCUAUCCCUCACUACUAAGCUAUCUAUCACUGCUAAUCUAUCGCUGCCAACCUAUCUAUCACUGCCAAUCUAUCUAUCGCUGCUAAUCUAUCGCUGCUAAUCUAUCGCUGCUAAUCUAUCGCUGCUAAUCUAUCGCUGCUAAUCUAUCGCUGCCA